RNAcentral lists this ribosomal RNA (253 nucleotides) under uncultured bacterium. RNAcentral's name for it is "partial 16S ribosomal RNA". It matches the Rfam family "Bacterial small subunit ribosomal RNA", at positions 524 to 776 of the family's 1533-position model. The record is from RNAcentral.
GACAGAGGGUGCGAACGUUGUUCGGAAUUACUGGGCGUAAAGCGCAUGUAGGCGGCAGCGCAAGUCGGGCGUGAAAUCCCACGGCUCAACCGUGGAAGUGCACUCGAAACUGCGCAGCUAGAGUCCUGGAGAGGAAGGUGGAAUGCUUGGUGUAGAGGUGAAAUUCGUAGAUAUCGUCAAGAACACCGAUAGUGAAGACAGCUAACUAAGCUUUAACUGACGCUGAGGCACGAAAGUGUGGGGAUCAAACAGG